RNAcentral lists this ribosomal RNA (253 nucleotides) under uncultured bacterium. Its description in RNAcentral is "partial 16S ribosomal RNA". It matches the Rfam family "Bacterial small subunit ribosomal RNA", at positions 524 to 776 of the family's 1533-position model. The record is from RNAcentral.
UACGAAGGGGGCAAGCGUUAUUCGGAAUUAUUGGGUGUAAAGGGCGCGUAGGCGGUGUAGUAAGUCUAUUGUUUAAUCCUCUGGCUUAACUGGAGAGCUGCAGUAGAUACUAUUAUGCUAGAGUGUGGAAGAGAGAAGUGGAAUUCUCGGAGUAGCGGUAAAAUGCGUAGAUCUCGAGAGGAACGCCAAUGGCGAAGGCAGCUUCUUGGUACAUUACUGACGCUGAGGCGCGAAGGCGUGGGGAGCAAACAGG